This 62-nucleotide transfer RNA is filed under the name Empoascanara sp. RNAcentral describes it as "tRNA-Cys". The record is from RNAcentral. Lineage: Eukaryota; Metazoa; Arthropoda; Insecta; Hemiptera; Cicadellidae.
AAAUCUUAGUAUAUAAACAUCUUAAAACUUGCAAUUUUAUAUUUUUAUUAAAAUAUAAGAUU